Molecule: ribosomal RNA, 342 nt
Filed under: Triticum aestivum (bread wheat)
Lineage: Eukaryota; Viridiplantae; Streptophyta; Magnoliopsida; Poales; Poaceae
Description: partial small subunit ribosomal RNA
Source: RNAcentral
AUGGAGAUGUUGGUGAAGAUGGUGGAGGUGUUGGUGAAGAUCAUGGUGAUGAUGAUGGCCCCCGGCGGUGUUCAGGCGCCACCGGAAGCAAGGGGGAGAGAGCCCUCCUUCUUCUUAUUCUUCUUCCUUGACCUUCUCCCUAGAUGGGAGAAGGGUUUCCCCUAUGGUCCUUGGCUCCCAUGGCGUGGGAGGGGCGAGAGCCCCUCCGAGAUUGGAUCUGUCUCUCUGUCUCUCUCUGUUUCUGCGCUUUUUGAUUCUGCCCUUUCACCAUUUCUUAUAUAUCCGGAGAUCCUAACUCCGAUUGGGUUGAAACCUUCGCCCAGAUUUUUCUCCGAAAAUUAG